Molecule: ribosomal RNA, 716 nt
Filed under: uncultured bacterium
Lineage: Bacteria
Description: bacterial SSU rRNA
Rfam family: Bacterial small subunit ribosomal RNA
Source: RNAcentral
AACAGGAUUAGAUACCCUGGUAGUCCACGCCGUAAACGAUGAUUACUCGUUUUUGGGUUUAAUGAUUCAGAGACUAAGCGAAAGUGAUAAGUAAUCCACCUGGGGAGUACGUUCGCAAGAAUGAAACUCAAAGGAAUUGACGGGGGCCCGCACAAGCGGUGGAGCAUGUGGUUUAAUUCGAUGAUACGCGAGGAACCUUACCAAGACUUAAAUGGGAAUUGACAGACGCAGAAAUGUGUUUUUCUUCGGACAAUUUUCAAGGUGCUGCAUGGUUGUCGUCAGCUCGUGCCGUGAGGUGUUAGGUUAAGUCCUGCAACGAGCGCAACCCCUGUCACUAGUUGCUAACAUUAAGUUGAGGACUCUAGUGAGACUGCCUACGCAAGUAGAGAGGAAGGUGGGGAUGACGUCAAAUCAUCACGGCCCUUACGUCUUGGGCCACACACGUGCUACAAUGGCCGGUACAGAGGGCAGCUACCUAGUGAUAGGAUGCAAAUCUCGAAAGCCGGUCUCAGUUCGGAUUGGAGUCUGCAACUCGACUCUAUGAAGCUGGAAUCGCUAGUAAUCGCGCAUCAGCCAUGGCGCGGUGAAUACGUUCCCGGGCCUUGUACACACCGCCCGUCAAGCCAUGGAAGCUGGGGGUACCUGAAGUCGGUGACCGUAAAAGGAGCUGCCUAGGGUAAAACUAGUAACUAGGGCUAAGUCGUAACAAGGUAACC